Non-coding RNA from Triticum aestivum (bread wheat), 115 nucleotides. The record is from Rfam. NCBI's taxonomy places the organism in Eukaryota, Viridiplantae, Streptophyta, Magnoliopsida, Poales, Poaceae.
UAACUACUCCCUCAGUUCGGAAUUACUUGUCUCGAAAAUGGAUGUAUCUAGAACUAAAAUACAUCUAGAUACAUUCAUUUCUGCGACAAGUAAUUCCGAACGAAGGGAGUAGCUA